RNAcentral lists this ribosomal RNA (301 nucleotides) under uncultured bacterium. RNAcentral's name for it is "partial 16S ribosomal RNA". It matches the Rfam family "Bacterial small subunit ribosomal RNA", at positions 509 to 807 of the family's 1533-position model. The record is from RNAcentral.
CAGUAGCCGCGGGAAUGCAGAGGAUACAAGCGUUAUCCGGAAUGAUUGGGCGUAAAGCGUCUGUAGGUGGCUUUUCAAGUCCGCCGUCAAAUCCCAGGGCUCAACCCUGGACAGGCGGUGGAAACUACCAAGCUGGAGUACGGUAGAGGCAGAGGGAAUUUCCGGUGGAGCGGUGAAAUGCGUUGAGAUCGGAAGGAACACCAACGGCGAAAGCACUCUGCUGGGCCGACACUGACACUGAGAGACGAAAGCUAGGGGAGCAAAUGGGAUUGGAUACCCCGGUAGUCCCUGUCUCUUAUAC